AUAUCUCUCUGUACGGGAAGGAUGAGAAGCUUCUACCAGGGUUCGAUUCGAGCGCAGCGAGAAAGCGUUG
RNAcentral lists this small RNA (70 nucleotides) under Salmonella enterica subsp. enterica serovar Heidelberg. Its description in RNAcentral is "partial RtT sRNA". It matches the Rfam family "RtT RNA", at positions 1 to 70 of the family's 130-position model. From Rfam's summary of the family: This family represents a bacterial cis-regulatory element known as RtT RNA. The exact function of RtT is unknown although it is thought that it may be involved in changing the cellular response in relation to amino acid starvation. Lineage: Bacteria; Pseudomonadati; Pseudomonadota; Gammaproteobacteria; Enterobacterales; Enterobacteriaceae. The record is from RNAcentral. RNAcentral also lists the same sequence under 7 other names.